This 86-nucleotide non-coding RNA is filed under the name human gut metagenome. RNAcentral's name for it is "TPP riboswitch (THI element)". It matches the Rfam family "TPP riboswitch aptamer (THI element)", at positions 7 to 92 of the family's 105-position model. From Rfam's summary of the family: Vitamin B(1) in its active form thiamin pyrophosphate (TPP) is an essential coenzyme that is synthesised by coupling of pyrimidine and thiazole moieties in bacteria. The previously detected thiamin-regulatory element, thi box was extended, resulting in a new, highly conserved RNA secondary structure, the THI element, which is widely distributed in eubacteria and also occurs in some archaea. Analysis of operon structures identified a large number of new candidate thiamin-regulated genes, mostly transporters, in various prokaryotic organisms. The record is from RNAcentral.
ACCGCUGGGGGAGCUUAUGGCUGAGAGCGGGCGUUUGCCCGGACCCUUAGAACCUGUUGUGGAUAAUGCCACCGUAGGGAAGCGAA